This 253-nucleotide ribosomal RNA is filed under the name uncultured bacterium. Its description in RNAcentral is "partial 16S ribosomal RNA". It matches the Rfam family "Bacterial small subunit ribosomal RNA", at positions 524 to 776 of the family's 1533-position model. The record is from RNAcentral.
UACGGGGGGGGCAAGCGUUGUUCGGAAUUACUGGGCGUAAAGGGCUCGUAGGCGGCCAACUAAGUCAGACGUGAAAUCCCUCGGCUUAACCGGGGAACUGCAUCUGAUACUGGAUGGCUCGAGUUUGGGAGAGGGAUGCGGAAUUCCAGGUGUAGCGGUGAAAUGCGUAGAUAUCUGGAGGAACACCGGUGGCGAAGGCGGAUCUCUGGGCCGAUACUGACGCUGAGGAGCGAAAGCGUGGGGAGCGAACAGG